Olea europaea var. sylvestris is the source of this 1249-nucleotide long non-coding RNA. RefSeq lists it as uncharacterized. The transcript has 3 exons. Lineage: Eukaryota; Viridiplantae; Streptophyta; Magnoliopsida; Lamiales; Oleaceae. The record is from RefSeq and is a predicted model, not a curated record.
GCUCAUAUUUCAUGGGAAACUCUGUCAAAAUUUUGUUAAAAAUAUUUUCUAGUCAAAUGAAUCAAGGUUGCCUUGGUGGUGGUCCGACGUUCAGCUGGUAUUUACCAUCAACGCAUGACACGUAUCGAAUCCAUUAAAGUUAUUCAGAACGGGUCUUGUCAAAGAGGGUAGACGAUAGUUGGUAGGAAGGGUCAAAUAUUUAUCUGAUGAUGUUAGAGUGCUGUGUGACCAUUAUGUGGACUUUCAGGAUGAGAUUGCAGCACUUUGAGUGAUAUAGUCGGCAGGUGAUGGGGUGACAGAGAUGGUGACCAAAGGGUGAUAAAGAGGGGGGUCAUCGGCAGUCGUGGUCGGAUGAUGCAUUGGAAUUAUUUUGGUUAUCCGUGGAGUAGAAGUGGGUAGCCCCUUCGAGGACGGGAGCGGUGACAGAGGAGAAAGUGGCCCCAUCAGGGACGGAAGAGGAAGCGAGCCUAGAGGAGGUGGUGGUCCCCAAAGUGGAAGAGGAGAAGACGACCAUCGUGAUUGAGGCUAAAAAAUGUGCUCUUGACGCGCUAGAGCUGGUGGUCGGUAAGAAGUCGAGAGCACCGUCACGGCUGAGACGAAGAGGAGAAGGCUUGUUGACGGGACAUACUCCAAUUUGUUUCGGGAGGUCAACCAUGUCAAAUGGAAAGCAUUCGAGACUAAGUGGUGAAGAAUUUUGCUCGGAGCCAGCCGGAUGAUAGCCAAAAAGACGAUAUUAGACGCAUACAAGUGGUUCCAUGAUAUCAUCACUCAGGAGGCUUGACUUGCUGACGAUCACAUCGACCUGGCCAUCGAUUUAUUGAGCGAUCGAGCUAAGAGAUAUCCACAAUCGUUCUACAUUCCUGACCGAAUAAUACCAAACAUUGAGUUUUUUCAUGUCGUUACCAUUGAGUAUCAGUCAUUCCAACUUAUGGGUAACGAGUACACGCUACCCGAGUAUAUGCUCGAGUGGGUCAUCGGGUUAUCACCAAGUGUUGAGGAAAGUCAUGGGAGAAUUGUACGUAUAUGUACAUUCCAGUGAUCAUGAAUUAUCACUGCAUUGCUCUGAAGAUCGUAUUUGCUGACUCAACGAUAUAUGUGUACGAUUCCGAUCAUUCAUAUCUGACACAGGGGUAGCUCGAGCUAAACUUGGAGUUGAUGACUGUGAUUAUUCCUUUGAUGGCUAGACAGGCGGGCAUGACCGUGUAGGACGGACUAGCCAUCUUGCGGGACACGACGACGGUGAGACAAU